GUAUCCUAAGCAUAUAUGGUGGCAAACUUACGAAGAACAGUAAUAUGACAUGGUGGUCUACGUAAGAUGGUCAAGUUCUAGAAUGAUCACUAAGUGUUCCUGAACACCCACUUAUGUCAUUCAUAACCCCACCGUGUUCUCGACCAGAGAAGGAGCUCUCAAAGAAACAAUCACGGUUACACACAAAGUUGGCAAGUUUUAUUUAAGUUACUUUCAGUUAUCUAGAACUGGAUGUUAACAAAAUAUCCAUGUUUGCCACAUAACCGCGGGCACGGCUUUCCGAAAGAUUUAACCC
This 295-nucleotide long non-coding RNA is filed under the name Hordeum vulgare. RNAcentral's name for it is "long non-coding RNA (HVUL_LNC010155)". The record is from RNAcentral. Lineage: Eukaryota; Viridiplantae; Streptophyta; Magnoliopsida; Poales; Poaceae.